Molecule: ribosomal RNA, 266 nt
Filed under: uncultured bacterium
Lineage: Bacteria
Description: partial 16S ribosomal RNA
Rfam family: Bacterial small subunit ribosomal RNA
Source: RNAcentral
CUUGCUAGGUUGAUUAGUGGCGAACGGGUGAGUAACAUUUAGGAAUCUACCUUUUAGUGGGGGAUAGCUCGGGGAAACUCGAAUUAAUACCGCAUACGACCUACGGGUGAAAGGGGGCGCGAGCUCUUGCUAGGAGAUGAGCCUAAAUCAGAUUAGCUAGUUGGUGGGGUAAAGGCUUACCAAGGCGACGAUCUGUAACUGGUCUGAGAGGAUGAUCAGUCACACCGGAACUGAGACACGGUCCGGACUCCUACGGAAGGCAGCAG